RNAcentral lists this non-coding RNA (22 nucleotides) under Arabidopsis thaliana (thale cress). The record is from RNAcentral. Lineage: Eukaryota; Viridiplantae; Streptophyta; Magnoliopsida; Brassicales; Brassicaceae.
AGUGUAUGGCGCUGUUGUCUGC